Molecule: unclassified non-coding RNA, 245 nt
Filed under: Hevea brasiliensis (rubber tree)
Lineage: Eukaryota; Viridiplantae; Streptophyta; Magnoliopsida; Malpighiales; Euphorbiaceae
Source: RNAcentral
GCUUAGUAAAUUUCCUGUCAAACCAUCUAUUGUUAUACUUGUUGAUUUCUUUUAUGGGGUUUCUUAAACUAUAAUGUUGUGUUUUGUUUCUCUCUUGAAAUACAAAGCAAGAGUCCUUUCUGGGUUUUGUUUAAUAUUUGUCAGAUUCACUGUGAUUCUCAUGUGCUUGCUGUUUUGUUAAUUCUCAAUGUCUCCAGCAUUUAUGCUUUUGGGAAACAGAGAUGCUAUGGAUUGCAUAUUCGUUC